Callorhinchus milii (elephant shark) is the source of this 73-nucleotide non-coding RNA. The record is from the annotation of a RefSeq genome assembly. NCBI's taxonomy places the organism in Eukaryota, Metazoa, Chordata, Chondrichthyes, Chimaeriformes, Callorhinchidae.
GGUCCUGUAGCUCAGUGGUUAGAGCGCUCACCUCCCAAUUGAGAGGACCUGGGUUUGAUUCCCAGCAGGGUGA